This 449-nucleotide ribosomal RNA is filed under the name uncultured bacterium. RNAcentral's name for it is "partial 16S ribosomal RNA". It matches the Rfam family "Bacterial small subunit ribosomal RNA", at positions 29 to 523 of the family's 1533-position model. The record is from RNAcentral.
AACGAACGCUGGCGGCAGGCUUAACACAUGCAAGUCGAACGCAUCCUUCGGGGUGAGUGGCAGACAGGUGAGUAACGCGUGGGAACAUGCCCUUCAGUUCGGAAUAACCCAGGGAAACUUGGGCUAAUACCGGAUACGUGCGAGAGCAGAAAGAUUUAUCGCUGAAGGAGUGGCCCGCGUCUGAUUAGCUAGUUGGUGAGGUAAAGGCUCACCAAGGUGACGAUCAGUAGCUGGUCUGAGAGGAUGAUCAGCCACACUGGGACUGAGACACGGCCCAGACUCCCACGGGAGGCAGCAGUGGGGAAUAUUGGACAACGGGCGCAAGCCUGAUCCAGCCAUGCCGCGUGAGUGAUGAAGGCCUUAGGGUUGUAAAGCUCUUUCGGCGGGGACGAUAAUGACGGUACCCGCAGAAGAAGCCCCGGCUAACUUCGUGCCAGCCGCCGCGGUAA